UUCAAGAGAUUCUCUUGCCUUAGCCUCCUGAGUAGCUGGGACUACAGGCGCCCGCCACCACGCCCGGCUAAUUUUUGUAUUUUUAGUAGAGAUGGCGUUUCACCAUGUUGGCCAGGCUGAUUUUGAACUCCUGACCUCAGGUGAUCCACCUGCCUCAGCCCCCCAAAGUGCUGGGAUUACAGGCAUGAGCCACCGUGCCCGGCUGUAUUAUCUGUUAAAGGACAUUUGGGUUGUUUUCACCUUUCGGUUACUAAGCUCUGCCUUCUUGACUGUGGAGGCGCCCAGCACUUGUGUUUAAUGACACAUUGUUCUGCCUUCCUUCUGUAUAUGCUUGUUCUGUGGACAGAGUGACCUGGCCCUGGCCAGUCACCCUCUAUCACCCAUUGAAUGGCCACCAGCAGGCCCUUGGAUGGAGCAAGCGCUGAUGGCCUUCUCUCCCCUCAGAACUACCGGAUUUGUUUCUCUUUUUCGUAUCAGAAUAAACACCCUGAGUUUCCUUGGUGUCUCUCCGAGAAUAAGACGGGGAGGAAAGCUACCCUUGCACAGCGCCUGUCCCAGGGCACUUCCUCCAGGUGGUGAUCCACAUCCCUGGGAGCCCCACCUCUUUGUCCCAGACUUCCCCUUGGGAUCAGGGCUGUCAUUUGUAGACAGCCCCACUGGGACCCUGGCCGCUUCCCACCAUCUUCUGCAGUUGCCUCUUUGUUGGGCAAAGACUCUGAGGUUUUGCAGCACUUGCUGUGCCCGUGCAGCUGGCACCAACAGAACGUUCUGAGUCUGACCAACUUCCUCCCUGUCCUCCGUGCCUCCUGCCUCUAUCUUCAUGCUUGUGUGGGACGAAGGACUCCCAGCUCCAAGUGCCAGAAAACCAGCACAGCUAGCAAAGAGGGGACCUGUGUCUUGUCCCGUGUGGCUGGGACACACCACGUGUAUGUCCCUGGCUUCAACAGGGAUCAGGGCUCAGGGAGACCCCUCAGCCUCCCUGGCUGCGCCGGGCACAUUCUUGUCCACUCUGCAGGACCCCACACCUCUGCCUGUGAGGCUGGGGAAGGUGGUUUUCCAUAGCGGCAGAUUAGUGAUAUCCCAGCCAUGUGACAGAGGUAUGCUUCCUGAGUCUGACGUCAUUCCAGGGAAGGAUUCUGAUUGGUGCUGUUCAGGACACAGGUGCAUUGCUACACCACAAAAGCGAGGGUGAGUCAGGUGCUCCCUUCUGUGGCCUGGGUUGAGAAAUGGGUGGUCCAUCAGUGGGUUUUCCAGACCCUUCCAUGUGCCGGGUGUUGGCCCUUGUAUGCACAUGUGUGAGCGUGUGCGUUUACUCACCCUUCAAAACCUGGCUAUAAAAAGACAUUCGGUGCAGAUUCAUUUGACCGGAAGCCUUUUCCUUCUCUCUGAUUUAUCCUCCACAUCUAGCCUGUGCCCAGCACACACAGUGGGUACUUAAAUAUAGGUCAAAUGACAGACUGAGAACCCACUGUGAUUUGUCUGUUUUUGCAAAAGGUAGGACUGCCCCCUUCCACGAAGACCAAUCUCUUUCUAUGAGACCAUCAGGUGCCACUCAUGUGGAAUUCAUUCUGAAGUGAACCCUUUAAAAGAAGCACCAGUGGCUUUUUCUUUUUUAGUCAAUUUUCCGGGAAAGUGCUGAAAUCUGCAGUGAGUGAAAGAGCAGAUUUUGAUUUCCCUUUAAAAAAAUUAUCAUAAAAGAGAAACUCAGCGUCUUUGAAAUUGAAGCUUCCCAGAAAC
This 1737-nucleotide long non-coding RNA is filed under the name Homo sapiens (human). RNAcentral describes it as "non-protein coding lnc-CASTOR1-2:1". Lineage: Eukaryota; Metazoa; Chordata; Mammalia; Primates; Hominidae. The record is from RNAcentral.